UGCCAGUACUGCGGCAGGGAUCAUGGGGACCGACCCUGCUACCGCCUCAACAACACCUGUCGCAUAUGCGGCAGUGCCCAGCACUAUGCGAGGGAGUGCCCUAGGAACCAGAAUCAAGGGAGGCCUCCAAUCCAGGGCAGAGUUUACAACCUUAUCCAGAAGGAUGCCGAUGCAGACCCAGACGUGGUACAUGGUAUGUAUACUAUCUCUGGCCACAUUGCUCAUAUUUUGUUUGAUACUGGUGCAUCACAUUCUUUUAUUUCACAUGUUCUUGCUUCCAAAAUUUGUGUAUCACCUGAUAGACUUGAUUCAUUAUUGUUUGUAUCUACCGCUGGGGGGGAGACAUUACUAGGAGAGGUUGUCUACAGGGCAUGUGCCGUGGAGAUAGCAGAUAGGAAAUUGAGGGUAGACCUGAUAGGGUUAGACACAGGGGAUUUUGAUGUAAUCCUAGGAAUGGAUUGGCUGGCGGCGUAUCACGCCACCAUAGACUGCUUUAAUAAAAAGAUUGUAUUUAAUCCUCCCAACGAGGAGCCAUUUACAAGUUAAUAAAAUUAUUCGGUACUGAUUUUCCCUAAUGACAAAUUCUUUUCUUCUUAAUUCCCAAUGCGUUGAUAUUGUAUUUUCCCUAACUAGGUAAACCCAAGAAGGAAGUUUGUAUCCAAGAGAUUCCAGUAGUCCGAGACUUUCCAGACGUAUUUCCGGAUGAACUGCCCGGUCUACCAGGGGACAGAGAGGUCGAGUUCACCAUAGACUUACAGCCAGGAACCCAACCCAUCUCGGUAGCUCCUUACCGAAUGAGCCGCAUCGAGAUGGAAGAGCUAAGGAAACAAAUUACUGAGCUACAAAACAGUGGUUUCAUUAGACACAGCAUUUCCCCAUAGGGUGCCGGGGUUACUUUUGCAAGGAAAUGAGAUGGAACGUUGAGACUGUGUAUUGAUUAUAGAAGGAUAAACAAGGUAACAAUUAAAAACAAGUACCCUCUCCCCCGGAUUGAUGACCUUUUCGAUCAGUUGCAGGGUGCACAGGUCUUUUCUAAAAUAGAUCUACGAUCAGGUUACCAUCAGGUAAAAGUGAGAGCAGAAGACAUCCCCAAGACGGCAUUCCGAACCAGGUACGGACACUAUGAGUUCCUGGUUAUGCCGUUUGGGCUAACCAACGCCCCGGCCAUCUUUAUGGAUCUAAUGAACAGAAUCUUCAGAGAGUUUUUGGAUAAAUUUGUCAUCGUGUUCAUCGAUGAUAUCUUAGUCUACUCAAAAAGUAGAGAAGAACAUGCUCAUCAUCUUGCCCAAGUCCUCCAGGUACUCAGGGAAAAGAAGUUGUAUGCAAAGUUGAGCAAGUGUGGAUUUUGGCUCGAGCAAACCGCCUUCCUAGGACAUGUUAUAUCGAAGGAAGGGGUGCCGGUGAACCCCGAAAAGGUUGAAGCGGUACUUGGUUGGGAAAGGCUGACAACAGUUAAGGAAAUUCGCAGUUUCCUAUGGAUGGCGGGUUAUUACCGCCGGUUUGUCGAAGGGUUCUCCAGUCUAGCGGCCCCUCUAACCCGACUCACAAAGAGAAUGCAAAGUUUGAUUGGAAUGAGAACUGCCAAAGGAGUUUUUCCGAAUUGAAGAAGCGACUGACUACUGCACCCGUGCUGGCUCUACCGAGUGGAUCAGGAGGGUAUACAGUUUAUAGUGAUGCCUCCUAUCUGGGCCUGGGUUGUGUCGUGAUGCAGCAUGGAAAGGUUAUAGCAUAUGGGUCUAGACAGCUAAAGAAUCAUGAGAAGAACUAUCCUACCCAUGAUUUGGAGCUUGCCGCAAUCAUACACGCCUUGAAAAUCUGGCGCCAUUAUUUGUAUGGAGAGACCUUUCAGAUCUACACCGAUCAUAAGAGCUUGAAGCACAUCUUCACUCAGAAGGAUCUCAACAUGCGUCAGAGAAGGUGGAUGGAACUCCUCAAGGACUAUGAUUGUGACAUCCUAUACCAUCCAGGUAAGGGCAACGUAGUAGCCGAUGCCCUCAGUAGGAAGAGUGCAGGCACCCUAGCCCAUCUGAUGGUUUCGGAAUGCAGGUCCAUUGGGGCUACGCAGCAGGUUCGACUGCAAGAUCUGAAGAGGGCCACAUGUUUGAGCCACCUGGCAGCCCAACCCGAGUUAAUCCAAAGAAUAAAGGAAGCCCAGUCAAUCGACCCCGCCCUAGUAAACCGCAAGAAGGAUGCAGAACAGGGAGUGAACUCAGAAUUUCAGAUCUCUGCCGACGGAUUGAUUCGUUUCAAGGACAGAAUGUGUGUCCCAGACGACAAUGAAUUAAAAAGAGACAUCAUGACAGAGUCCCAUAGUUCAAGGUUCGCCAUGCAUCCAGGAAGUACAAAAAUGUACCAAACUAUGCGACCCCGAUUCUGGUGGAAUGGGAUGAAGAGAGAUAUAGCCGACUUUAUAUCUAAGUGCUUGGUAUGUCAGCAGGUCAAGGCAGAACAUCAACGCCCAGGGGGGUUGCUUCAGCCUUUACCGAUUCCAGAAUGGAAGUGGGAACACAUCACCAUGGACUUCGUAUCGGGACUACCCAAGGCACGAUCGGGACACGAUGCCAUAUGGGUAAUUGUUGACCGACUCACUAAGUCUUCCCACUUCCUGGCCAUCAGAAUGACUGAUUCGUUGGACAAGUUGGCAAGAAUGUAUGUCCGAGAAAUAGUCAGACUGCAUGGGGUCCCAGUAACAGUGGUGUCCGACAGGGAUCCCAGAUUCACUUCUCGGUUCUGGAAUAGUUUCCAGCAAGCUAUGGGAACAAAGCUGUCCCUUAGUACUGCCUUCCACCCCCAAACCGAUGGACAAUCAGAGAGGACAAUCCGUACGCUGGAGGAUAUGCUCCGAGCUUGUGUCCUUGACUCCGGAGGCCAUUGGGACGACCAUCUACCCCUGAUAGAGUUUGCCUACAACAACAGUUACCAAGCAAGCAUCGGCAUGGCCCCAUACGAGGCGCUAUACGGGCGUCCGUGCAGGUCACCGAUUUGUUGGGAGGAAGUGGGCGAUAGAAGAUUGUUUGGCCCGGAUUUGGUGGAAAAAACCACGUCCAAGAUAGUUAAGAUCAAGAAGAACAUCCAGACAGCUCAGAGUAGGCAGAAGAGCUAUGCUGAUACCCGGAGGAGAGACCUGGCCUUUGAGAAAGGUGACCGGGUGUUUCUUAAAGUCACCCCCUUCAAGGGAAUUAGUAGGUUCGGCAGAAGGGGAAAAUUAAACCCCAUAUACAUUGGACCCUUUGAAAUUUUAGACAAGAUUGGUACCACUGCCUACAGACUUGCACUGCCCCCUGAGCUCUCCCGGGUUCACAAUGUGUUUCAUGUAUUUAUGCUGCGCAAGUACAAUCCGGACCCUUUUCAUGUCGUGGCUCAUGAACCGCUUUCACUCCGAGAGGACUUGUUUUAUGAAGAAGUACCGAUCAGUAUCACGGACCGAGAAAGCAGAAUACUCCGUAACCGGGAAAUAUCAUUUGUAAAAGUUUUGUGGCAGAACCACACGCCUAGGGAGGCGACUUGGGAGCUGGAAUCAGAAUUUAGGGCCCAAUAUCCUCAUUUGUUUGAUCAAGAGUAAUGAGGCAAAUUUGGGGACCAAAUUUCUUUAUGGGGGGGAGAGUUGUAGCACCCGGAAAGGAGGAAAAAAAAAAAAAAAAAAAAAAGGGGGGGCCACGUCAGCAGCCACGUCAGCAGGCCCGGUCAGCAGUCCCGGCCAACCGGGGCCUGCCACGUGGUAAGACCGCGUCACUCCGAAAGGAGCCACGUUGGCGAUCCGCGUGGGUGCGAUCCGACGGCCCAGAUCAAUCGCGCGAUCGGACGGCCUAGAUUCAAUCGCACGGACGGCCCAGAUUCAAUCAAAAACGAACGGCCCAGAUUAAAACGAAAUGAACGGCUGUGAUCAAAAGGUAAGGGGUUAUAAAUAGAACCCCCACACCAGACCACAAAACCCUAGCCGCCCGCCGCUCGCCGGAGAAGACGAACCAGAGGCCGAUAACCGCCACCCGCCGCCGCACCGGGGAAAUUUCCGACCGCCGAUCGAGGUUGACCGAAGCCGAAUCACCAAAACACGAACCUCGCCGGAGAGCCGCCGUACCCGAGAGCGCCGCCGCCGGUACUGUUAGUGUGUUUCAGUUCCCCGGGAAAAAUUCAGGGAAAAUUAGGGACGGCCUGCAGGCGCACUGUGAAUCGUAUUCGGAUCCCGAAAACAAGUAAGGACCCCUCACCCUAUUUCUUAUCACGGUAUUAAAGUUCAAAAUGAUAAAACGGUAUUUCUUGAAUUAACGCAUGUGUGAAAUUGCUUAAGGUUGCUAAUGGAGCCCGAGUCUAGUGUGAUCGAUGAUUUACUGUUAUUUGGCCUGUUUACAGCUUUAAAUGCAAAAUGAGGUUGAUGUGUUUCAUUUUACAGAUUUGUGUGCAUGUACUACGUUUUUAUUAAUUAUGGGUUGAAUGACUGAAAAACUGAUACUGUAUGUUGUCUGUUUGGUAUGAAUUACGAUUUGCUUGUUUAAAUGUGAAUUGAUGAUGCUGAUUGAGGAAAAGGAAAAUGAAAGAUUGUGUAAACUGAUAAUUGUAUUAUGGGGGUCAGCCUGACUAGAUAUCCUGGGAGAUGGUGGACGGACCGGGUCCGUAGGGAACCCUACCGGGAUUGUGGUCUCACAUGCCGGACGGGGUAUGGAGAUCUUAUGGUUUUGGCGCCCAUACCGGACGGGGUAUGGGGACGGCCCGUUUCACCCUCAUACCGGACGGGGUAUUGAGGUUUAUGGUUUUGGCGCCCAUACCGGACGGGGUAUGGGGACGGCCCGUUUCACCCUCAUACCGGACGGGGUAUUGAGGUUCAUGGUUUUGGCGCCCAUACCGGACGGGGUAUGGGGACGGCCCUGGAAACUGAUUAUGAAUGUUAAAGGUUAACGGGUAGCGGAACCCCUAUGGACCCCCACGGAUACUAGUAGGCUGGUAAAUGAGAAAAAGAUAUGUUGUACAAUGAUUGAAUUACAAGAGGCGUGAUAAGUGUUAUGUUUUACAGUUUAGAUUAUUCAAUGAUUAUGAUAAUGUUAUUGUUUUUCUCAUAUUGUUUUCAUAAAUUCCACCAAGGUAAGUGGAUGGUCAAAGUUUUAUUAUUGAUAAAAGGUUUUGUUGUUAAUAAACGAGUUUAUUGUAAAUUAUGCUCCAUUGGUCUUUUUGUGGUUUUUUACCCACCUUUAUCUCCGUGACGGUGAGAUAUCGUGAUGUUCUUACUGGGCUAGUGUAGCUCACUCCUUAAUUAACCAUUUCAGAUCAGGAAGACAUGGUUCCCGAGCCCGUUCCGCAGGAGGACGAC
Molecule: long non-coding RNA, 5302 nt
Filed under: Carica papaya (papaya)
Lineage: Eukaryota; Viridiplantae; Streptophyta; Magnoliopsida; Brassicales; Caricaceae
Description: long non-coding RNA (CPAP_LNC001563)
Source: RNAcentral